Molecule: transfer RNA, 65 nt
Filed under: Turicibacter sanguinis
Lineage: Bacteria; Bacillati; Bacillota; Erysipelotrichia; Erysipelotrichales; Turicibacteraceae
Also listed under: 2 other names
Rfam family: tRNA
About the family: Transfer RNA (tRNA) molecules are approximately 80 nucleotides in length. Their secondary structure includes four short double-helical elements and three loops (D, anti-codon, and T loops).
Source: RNAcentral
CAGUGGUGUAGCGGUUAACAUGCCUGCCUGUCACGCAGGAGAUCGCGGGUUCGAUUCCCGUCUGG